CCAAUAGCGUAUAUUAAAGUUGUUGCAGUUAAAAAGCUCGUAGUUGAAUUUCGGGGUCAGUAGGUUGGUCAUGCCACUGGUAUGUACUGGUCUCACUGAUUCCUCCUUCCUGAUGAGCCGUAAUGCCAUUAAUUUGGUGUUGCGAGGAAUCUGGACUGUUACUUUGAAAAAAUUAGAGUGUUUAAAGCAGGCUAACGCUUGAAUACAUUAGCAUGGAAUAAUGAAAUAGGACGUUCGAUCUUAUUUUGUUGGUUUCUAAGAUUGACGUAAUGAUUAAUAGGGAUAGUUGGGGGCAUUAGUAUUCAAUUGUCAGAGGUGAAAUUCUUGGAUUUAUUGAAGACUAACUACUGCGAAAGCAUUUGCCAAGGAUGUUUUCAUUAAUCAAGAACGAAAGUUAGGGGAUCGAAGACGAUCAGAUACCGUCGUAGUCUUAACCAUAAACUAUGCCGACUAGGGAUCGGAUGAUGUUAAUUUUUUAAUGACUCAUUCGGCGCCUUACG
This 500-nucleotide non-coding RNA is filed under the name uncultured Glomus. RNAcentral describes it as "SSU rRNA". It matches the Rfam family "Eukaryotic small subunit ribosomal RNA", at positions 591 to 1092 of the family's 1831-position model. RNAcentral also lists the same sequence under 1 other name. Lineage: Eukaryota; Fungi; Glomeromycota; Glomeromycetes; Glomerales; Glomeraceae. The record is from RNAcentral.